RNAcentral lists this ribosomal RNA (53 nucleotides) under Terriera minor. RNAcentral's name for it is "partial 28S ribosomal RNA". Lineage: Eukaryota; Fungi; Ascomycota; Leotiomycetes; Rhytismatales; Rhytismataceae. The record is from RNAcentral.
CUCAGAUCAGGUAGGGAUACCCGCUGAACUUAAGCAUAUCAAUAAGCGGAGGA